GACGAACGCUGGCGGCGUGCUUAACACAUGCAAGUCGAACGAUGAAGCUGGAGCUUGCUCUGGCGGAUUAGUGGCGAACGGGUGAGUAACACGUGAGAAAUCUGCCCUUGACUCUGGGAUAACUGCGGGAAACUGUAGCUAGUACCGGAUACUUUCCCUGGUGGGCAUCCACUGGGGAAGAAAGAAUUUCGGUCAAGGAUGAUCUCGCGGCCUAUCAGCUUGUUGGUGAGGUAAUGGCUCACCAAGGCGACGACGGGUAGCCGGCCUGAGAGGGUGACCGGCCACACUGGGACUGAGACACGGCCCAGACUCCUACGGGAGGCAGCAGUGGGGAAUAUUGCACAAUGGGCGCAAGCCUGAUGCAGCAACGCCGCGUGAGGGAUGAAGGCCUUCGGGUUGUAAACCUCUUUUAGCAGGGAAGAAGCGAAAGUGACGGUACCUGCAGAAAAAGCACCGGCUAACUACGUGCCAGCAGCCGCGGUAA
Molecule: ribosomal RNA, 484 nt
Filed under: uncultured bacterium
Lineage: Bacteria
Description: partial 16S ribosomal RNA
Rfam family: Bacterial small subunit ribosomal RNA
Source: RNAcentral